UAGGAGAUGGUGAAUAAUAUGGUGGUGGUGGUGGAGAACUGUAAACUGGUGGUGGAGGAGAUUUGUACUCAACCUUUGGCGAUGGUGAAUAUGAUGGUAGUGGUGGCAAGCUAUACGAUAAUGGCGCUGGCUCAUAUGCAGCAACCAUUGUUGCCAUGAUGAUAACGCUUAGAGUGCAAAUGAGAUGGGCUGAAGACCCCAUCCUAGAAGAAGAUCUCAUUGUGAUUUUUCUUUUCUCUACCAACGCUUAACUGCGUUGGUUAGUUUUUCUUGUUUUGGUUUGUGUUGUAAGG
Molecule: long non-coding RNA, 293 nt
Filed under: Eutrema salsugineum
Lineage: Eukaryota; Viridiplantae; Streptophyta; Magnoliopsida; Brassicales; Brassicaceae
Description: long non-coding RNA (ESAL_LNC000522)
Source: RNAcentral